This is a long non-coding RNA of Mercenaria mercenaria, 3010 nucleotides long. RefSeq lists it as uncharacterized. The record is from RefSeq and is a predicted model, not a curated record. The transcript has 5 exons. Lineage: Eukaryota; Metazoa; Mollusca; Bivalvia; Venerida; Veneridae.
GCUACACCGGCAACAGAAUCUGAAAGUUUUCACAAAGAAAAAGUAAAUGACAGCUAUUUUUGAUGUAAUGGUCAGUCCAGUUGAGACUAUUGUGCGACACGCCUGGUUAACUGAAGGAUUUUUCUUAUAGGGUAUUACGUGUUUGGUAGUGGUGUUUCUACUUGAGACGAGUUUGAUCAUCUUGUCUUCAGUGAAGAAAAGCAGAGUGAUAUGUUGUGAAGUGUGCAUCAGCUGAAAAACAAGAAUAUAGUCAAAUAUUUGUGGCAUCAAUGGAUGGAUAACUGUGUAUAAAGAUUUCUACUACUGCUACAACAAGUGUUUGACAUAAGUUUUGAUAUUGGUGUCAUUCUCACUCAGUCCUCUUUAUCCUCUCUGGAACAUUUGGCCGGCACCACAGUUAGCUAUUGGAUUGGUGUAACAUGAUGCAACUACGACAGAUGAUAGAACACAAAGGAGACUUUAUGACUUUCCAGAUUUAUCAGUACUAACAAAUCUUCAUGUAUUUUAAUUUAGAAAAUGAUAUAUCUUAUUAGUGAUCUGUUGCUGAAUAAAUCAUUGUUUGGAGUUCAGGUACAAAGGAAUUAUAUCACGGGCGCAUCUUAACAACGAAAAAUGAUUUUAUUAACGAGCAAAUAACGAAAUGAGAUAUAUUACUUAGAUUGUAACAAGCUACAAAGGACUUAAAGUACAACCUUGCCUGCAUUCAUUAUAUUUUUGCCGUUUUCAGUUGUUUUUUUUUUUUCAGGGCGCCACUGCCGUUUCACAUUAUGACGUAAUAGUUUUGAAGUCAUAAUAGUGUAUUGUUGAAUGAUAAUUCACAGUUUUCAGCCUUUUUUGUUUAAUAGGAAAAUUAAUCGUAUUGUGUUAAGAGUAAAUAACAGUAAUUUCUUGUUUAAUUAAAUCUUUGUUUGCAAUUCAUAUGUGAAUGAAUUACAUCACGAGUGUGCAGCCCUAUUGAUAUGAUAAUAUAAUCUGAACGACAGUGGUUUUAUUAGCUUGACUAUUCAAAGAAUAUGGGAGCUUUCCUACUCGUCCCGGCGUCGGGAUUAGCGUUAUUGUGAGCGUCACACAAAUUUUAAAGUUUGCGUACCACCCCAAAUAUUUUCAAACUCCAUUGAGAUAUUGCUUUGAUAUUUUGCAUACUUGUUAACCAUCAUGACCCCAGUCUGUGAAAAGGAGGAGGCAACUCUAUCAAGCAUUUUGACUGAAUUAUGGCCCCUUUUUGACUUAGAAUAAAUGUUAAAGUUUACCACCCCAAAGGUCAAGUUAACAGGGGCCUGAACAUGGAAAACCAUUUCCGAUCAAUAUCUUGAGAACCACUUGACCAAGAAUGUUGAAACUUCAUAGGAUGACUGAUCAUGCAGAGUAGAUGACCCUUCUUGACUUUGGGGUCACUGCGUUCAAGGUCAAGGUCAUAGGGGCCUAAACAAGGAAAACCAUUUCCAGUCAGAAUGUUGAAAUUUCUUAGGAUGUUUGUUCAUGCAGAGGAGAUGGCCCAUAUCAGUUUAAGGGUCACUCUAUCUAAGGUCAAGGUCAAAGGGGCCUGAACAUUGAAAACCUUUUCCAGUUCAUAACUUGAAAACCACUAGGCCCAGAAUGUUGAAACUUAGUAACAUGAUUGGACAUGCCACAUAGGUGAUCCAUAUUGCAGCCAACCAUCAGUGUUUCUUUCACUUUUUUGAGUUACUGUCAUCACUUGAUCGGUAUUGGCGUCAGCGUUGCAUGGUUAAGUUUCAUGUUUAGGUCACCUUUUCUCCUAAACGGUCAAAGGUAUUGCUUUAAAACUUGAAACACUUGUUCACCAUCAUUAGCUGACUUUGUACAGCAAGAAACAUAACUCUAUCCUGUUUGCAAGAAUUAUUGCCCCUUUUGGACUUACAAAAUAUAAAGUAUUUGUUUAGGUCAGCUUUUCUCCUUUACCAUCAAAGCUAUCACCCUCGUCAUAUGACACUAGGUGCAUAAGUUUUGCACCAAUAUUUUAUUAAUUAUGCCCUCGCCCCACCUUUUGCUGAAAGUUAUACUUAUAUUGUGUUUUGAUACACUUGAUAAUUACCUCUCUUAUUACUUAAUAUUUUUGACUCAGACUCGAGCUAUUGUACAAUAUCUUCAUCCACCAUUGAAGUCAUUAAACAAUCUGGUGACAGCUCCAGUUUCCUCAGAUAUUCCCAGUUUCACUUUCCAGCAUCGAAAUAGUCGAGCGUGCUGUUAACAAUCAGUUUUAUAAACCUCAUUUGCUUAAGGCAUUACAGCUGUAAAAUAAUUGCAGUGUAAAUUAUGUGUAUUUCAGGACACUCUUAAAUUUUUAUUACCUCCCUUUUCCAUAUACAAUAUUUAUUGUAUUUUAAAUAUUUUUGAAUUUUUCUAACAACUUUAAAAUGUUAUCUCUUUCCCAAUAUUAUUAUUAAAUCAUGAAAGAUACAGAAUGGAAAUGUGGAAGAAGAUAUAACUAUGUAAAGUUAGAAUGCUAAAUUUUUAAAAAAUGUAGGCUGCUACAUUUUAUGAAAAAAUAUUUUCUUCAAUUUUACCUGAAAUUUUAUAUGCAACUUACAUCCAACCUUUAUAAGUUAACUUAAAUGUAUUAUAAAUACAUUAACAUGUGUUGAUAUUUUCUUUAGCUUUGCUCCACAAUUUAGCUUAUGUUACAGGAUUUAAGACUUGAAUUUUCAACUUAACAAAUGUUUAUUUUACCUUUAUUAGAUUAUUAAAUCAAUAACUCAAUAACCUCUAUGUGCAAGCUGAAUUGUAUUAAAUUUGUAAAAUUGUUCAUGCAUUCAUUUAUCAAUAGACACUAGUCAUAUGUAUCUAUUUAUUUAUUUUUUGAAUUUAUUUUGAUUAUAUGGACAUAUUUCUAUCAGUAAUAAAGGGAGAUAAUUUAAAUGACAUGAACAAAGAAUGUGAUAUCUGUGUGUAGAUUUGUAAUUUCUGCUAUAGUUUUUUUUAUUAAAAUUAUUAUAUUUUAUAUAUCCAUUGCAAUAUAGCUUUGAUUAUUAAACACCAUAUGUAACCUUGA